Molecule: ribosomal RNA, 2685 nt
Filed under: Escherichia coli
Lineage: Bacteria; Pseudomonadati; Pseudomonadota; Gammaproteobacteria; Enterobacterales; Enterobacteriaceae
Description: bacterial LSU rRNA
Rfam family: Bacterial large subunit ribosomal RNA
Source: RNAcentral
AAAUCAACCGAGAUUCCCCCAGUAGCGGCGAGCGAACGGGGAGGAGCCCAGAGCCUGAAUCAGUGUGUGUGUUAGUGGAAGCGUCUGGAAAGGCGUGCGAUACAGGGUGACAGCCCCGUACACAAAAAUGCACAUACUGUGAGCUCGAUGAGUAGGGCGGGACACGUGGUAUCCUGUCUGAAUAUGGGGGGACCAUCCUCCAAGGCUAAAUACUCCUGACUGACCGAUAGUGAACCAGUACCGUGAGGGAAAGGCGAAAAGAACCCCGGCGAGGGGAGUGAAAAAGAACCUGAAACCGUGUACGUACAAGCAGUGGGAGCCUCUUAAUGGGGUGACUGCGUACCUUUUGUAUAAUGGGUCAGCGACUUAUAUUCUGUAGCAAGGUUAACCGAAUAGGGGAGCCGAAGGGAAACCGAGUCUUAACUGGGCGUUAAGUUGCAGGGUAUAGACCCGAAACCCGGUGAUCUAGCCAUGGGCAGGUUGAAGGUUGGGUAACACUAACUGGAGGACCGAACCGACUAAUGUUGAAAAAUUAGCGGAUGACUUGUGGCUGGGGGUGAAAGGCCAAUCAAACCGGGAGAUAGCUGGUUCUCCCCGAAAGCUAUUUAGGUAGCGCCUCGUGAAUUCAUCUCCGGGGGUAGAGCACUGUUUCGGCAAGGGGGUCAUCCCGACUUACCAACCCGAUGCAAACUGCGAAUACCGGAGAAUGUUAUCACGGGAGACACACGGCGGGUGCUAACGUCCGUCGUGAAGAGGGAAACAACCCAGACCGCCAGCUAAGGUCCCAAAGUCAUGGUUAAGUGGGAAACGAUGUGGGAAGGCCCAGACAGCCAGGAUGUUGGCUUAGAAGCAGCCAUCAUUUAAAGAAAGCGUAAUAGCUCACUGGUCGAGUCGGCCUGCGCGGAAGAUGUAACGGGGCUAAACCAUGCACCGAAGCUGCGGCAGCGACGCUUAUGCGUUGUUGGGUAGGGGAGCGUUCUGUAAGCCUGUGAAGGUGGCCUGUGAGGGUUGCUGGAGGUAUCAGAAGUGCGAAUGCUGACAUAAGUAACGAUAAAGCGGGUGAAAAGCCCGCUCGCCGGAAGACCAAGGGUUCCUGUCCAACGUUAAUCGGGGCAGGGUGAGUCGACCCCUAAGGCGAGGCCGAAAGGCGUAGUCGAUGGGAAACAGGUUAAUAUUCCUGUACUUGGUGUUACUGCGAAGGGGGGACGGAGAAGGCUAUGUUGGCCGGGCGACGGUUGUCCCGGUUUAAGCGUGUAGGCUGGUUUUCCAGGCAAAUCCGGAAAACCAAGGCUGAGGCGUGAUGACGAGGCACUACGGUGCUGAAGCGACAAAUGCCCUGCUUCCAGGAAAAGCCUCUAAGCAUCAGGUAACAUCAAAUCGUACCCCAAACCGACACAGGUGGUCAGGUAGAGAAUACCAAGGCGCUUGAGAGAACUCGGGUGAAGGAACUAGGCAAAAUGGUGCCGUAACUUCGGGAGAAGGCACGCUGAUAUGUAGGUGAAGCGACUUGCUCGUGGAGCUGAAAUCAGUCGAAGAUACCAGCUGGCUGCAACUGUUUAUUAAAAACACAGCACUGUGCAAACACGAAAGUGGACGUAUACGGUGUGACGCCUGCCCGGUGCCGGAAGGUUAAUUGAUGGGGUUAGCGGCAACGCGAAGCUCUUGAUCGAAGCCCCGGUAAACGGCGGCCGUAACUAUAACGGUCCUAAGGUAGCGAAAUUCCUUGUCGGGUAAGUUCCGACCUGCACGAAUGGCGUAAUGAUGGCCAGGCUGUCUCCACCCGAGACUCAGUGAAAUUGAACUCGCUGUGAAGAUGCAGUGUACCCGCGGCAAGACGGAAAGACCCCGUGAACCUUUACUAUAGCUUGACACUGAACAUUGAGCCUUGAUGUGUAGGAUAGGUGGGAGGCUUUGAAGUGUGGACGCCAGUCUGCAUGGAGCCGACCUUGAAAUACCACCCUUUAAUGUUUGAUGUUCUAACGUUGGCCCGUAAUCCGGGUUGCGGACAGUGUCUGGUGGGUAGUUUGACUGGGGCGGUCUCCUCCUAAAGAGUAACGGAGGAGCACGAAGGUUGGCUAAUCCUGGUCGGACAUCAGGAGGUUAGUGCAAUGGCAUAAGCCAGCUUGACUGCGAGCGUGACGGCGCGAGCAGGUGCGAAAGCAGGUCAUAGUGAUCCGGUGGUUCUGAAUGGAAGGGCCAUCGCUCAACGGAUAAAAGGUACUCCGGGGAUAACAGGCUGAUACCGCCCAAGAGUUCAUAUCGACGGCGGUGUUUGGCACCUCGAUGUCGGCUCAUCACAUCCUGGGGCUGAAGUAGGUCCCAAGGGUAUGGCUGUUCGCCAUUUAAAGUGGUACGCGAGCUGGGUUUAGAACGUCGUGAGACAGUUCGGUCCCUAUCUGCCGUGGGCGCUGGAGAACUGAGGGGGGCUGCUCCUAGUACGAGAGGACCGGAGUGGACGCAUCACUGGUGUUCGGGUUGUCAUGCCAAUGGCACUGCCCGGUAGCUAAAUGCGGAAGAGAUAAGUGCUGAAAGCAUCUAAGCACGAAACUUGCCCCGAGAUGAGUUCUCCCUGAGACUUAGAGUCUCCUGAAGGAACGUUGAAGACGACGACGUUGAUAGGCCGGGUGUGUAAGCGCAGCGAUGCGUUGAGCUAACCGGUACUAAUGAACCGUGAGGCUUAACCUU